This is a long non-coding RNA of Gossypium arboreum, 252 nucleotides long. RefSeq lists it as uncharacterized. NCBI's taxonomy places the organism in Eukaryota, Viridiplantae, Streptophyta, Magnoliopsida, Malvales, Malvaceae. The transcript has 2 exons. The record is from RefSeq and is a predicted model, not a curated record.
AUCAAGAGAAACGAGAUUCAAGUCGUGAUCGAGGGAAAAAUAAAGUUUACGAGGAAUAGGCUCGAUUGUUAAAAAUUUUGUGCCGAGUUUUAACAAGCCGGCUUGAGAAUUGGGAUAGGUCGAAGACUCGUUCACACUAUCCGAAGGCCUAAAUUGGUAAAAUGGCUUGUGUGUUUUGAAUGUGGCAUGUAUGGCAAAAUACUCACUUUGUGUAAAUGAUCUUAUGAUAUGGCUAUGGUUUGGCAAGAAAAA